Long non-coding RNA from Megalobrama amblycephala (Wuchang bream), 2108 nucleotides. RefSeq lists it as uncharacterized. The transcript has 3 exons. NCBI's taxonomy places the organism in Eukaryota, Metazoa, Chordata, Actinopteri, Cypriniformes, Xenocyprididae. The record is from RefSeq and is a predicted model, not a curated record.
UAAAAAGUAGUUAUUAGAAAGGUGCAAUCUGGGAAAUGCUAACUUUAGCCUGCUAGCACUGAAAGCAUACGAUACCACCUUCCCUGCAAAUCGCCGUCCAAAGCCACGCCUCUUCCAAAACACAAGACCAGAAGCGAGAAAAACCGGAGACAACGUUAUUGGAUUACAUCAUGUGUCAUUCACCGAAGCUAUCAAAGGGAAAUCCACAACAAACUGCCUAUCAGGCAAAAGCUGCUUAUGGAGAAUGUGAGGAAAAGCGGCUGGUGACAGGCUUGAGCGAACAAAAAGCUCUCCAGAUAUUAUGGGAUGGCAGCCAGGCGUUCACAGCUAACAAUAGAUGCCCACAGAUUCAAACCUCCGAGGCCUGUGUUUUGUUGAGUCCAUCUCUCUAUUAAUGCUACAGAGAGUUCCACUGCAGCAUACAGAGUCAUCCAAAAAAGCUACUAUUUACAUGAUACAGAGCUAUGUGGGUUGGUAAGUAAGGGAAAAAAUAUCAAAAUGAAUGACUUCACUUGUAUAUUUUCCAGCGAUUCUCCAGUGAGAUCAAGAAACAAGAAGUGGAAAUAAACAAAUUGAUAAAAGGAGCCACUCUGAAUCAUGGCUGACAUCUCAUCUCCCUCAGGCUUAAAGGAAUCAUUCACCCAAAAUGAAAACUCUUUCAUCAAUUACUCACUUUCUUUCUGAGUUUCUUUCUUCUGUGGAACACAAAAGGAGAAGUUUUGAUGAACAUCUUGAGCAGUCUUUUCCAUGCAAUGACAAUAAAUGGAAACUGAAGCUUGAAAGGGGAUGCAAAAGCACCGUAAAAGAAUUAUAUGUAUCAUAAAAGCAGACUUGAAUUCAAGUCGUUAUUCACCGAUAAUCCAUCUCCAGAGUCAGUGGGGUGAACACAAGAACUGUGAAUGAAUCACAGACAGAAUUGUGAACUGAAUCAAUUGAUUCACUGAAAAUGACUUGAACACUCUAUUUUCCUCCCAUUUAUGACUUUUCAGGGUCAUUCAGAGAGUCAGACACUAACUUGGAAACCAAAGAAUACCAAAGAUAAUUGCUGUUAGAAACUUCUAAAAAAAAAAAAAAAAAAUCAUUAAUUAUUGGCAUCAAAUAAUGUAAGCUCUCAAAUGAUUCAUUGAAAAUAACUGACUAAGAAUAAUUUGAAUAAUCACUAGUCUUACACAAAGCUAUCUUAAGUCUUGAAAUACAUUUUGCAAGUCAUAUAGACUACUUUUAUGGUCCUUUUUGAAGCUUGAAAGCUUUGAACAUCUCCCCAUUUAUUGUAACUGCGUGGAAAAAAAGCAUGAAAAGAAGAAAGAAAAUGCAUGUUUGGAACAACAUGAGGGUGAGUAAAUGUCCUUUUUUUGAGUAAACUAUAAGACUCAGAACACUGUGUUCCACAACAACUGACCCUAACGCUCAAAAAUUAUUAAUUAGUUUGAGUAGGGCAAACACAAAUUAAACAAAUUAGUUCAAUCAAAUGAACUUUUAUGAAUAUUUAGAACUUUCUUUUUCUUGAGUUCAUGAAACUGACACAUUUUAAGUAAACUGAAUUGUUUCAUUGUAUUGAGUUUUACAAACUUGUUUCUUUUAAUUUAGACAAACUUAAAUUUACCUGAUGGGCAGGUAUUUCUAUUUACCCUAACACUCGAAAGUGAGAAUAAAUGCUAAAAUUAAGUGUUAUAUAAUGUUUUUUUUUUUUUUUUUUUGUGCAAGAUUAAUGUUAAGUGGGGGGUUUAGUAGAGUUUAAUGCUUUGCUAUCCUAAUAUCCUAAUUUAGGGAGGGGGGGUUACCAUCAUGGUGACAAGUGGAGCAUGAGAUUAGUUUGAGAACAGGUAUAUCAUAUAUGUUCUAUAUUGCCGUACUCUUUCAGCAAUUACUAUGCUAUGCUAAUGUUAUCAAAGCACUGUGUUACCAAUUAGCAUUUUCUGAAUUAGCUAGUUAUAGCUAGCUAAAUUUCCACUACUAAAAAUAUAAUUUAAGAUGUCUUUGGGCGACCCAAGUUUGAGUCCUGGCUCGCAGAACUUUUUCCUGAUCCCGUCCACCUUUCUCCCUCCCACUUUGCUUCCUGUCUGCUUUUAUAUACGCUGCCCUCCAAAAGUUUGGAAACACCCUAGAAA